This is a small nucleolar RNA of Synchiropus splendidus (mandarinfish), 82 nucleotides long. RefSeq annotates it as small nucleolar RNA SNORD53/SNORD92. Lineage: Eukaryota; Metazoa; Chordata; Actinopteri; Syngnathiformes; Callionymidae. The transcript has a single exon. The record is from RefSeq and is a predicted model, not a curated record.
UAGGAGUGAUGAUGCUGAGAAAUGGUUUCGCUUCAUGAGCUGAUGUCAUUUGAUGUCACCCUUUCUCUUGGCUGUCGGCCUG